Molecule: ribosomal RNA, 468 nt
Filed under: uncultured bacterium
Lineage: Bacteria
Description: partial 16S ribosomal RNA
Rfam family: Bacterial small subunit ribosomal RNA
Source: RNAcentral
GACGAACGCUGGCGGCGUGCUUAACGCAUGCAAGUCGAACGGAAAGGCCCUGCUUUUGUGGGGUGCUCGAGUGGCGAACGGGUGAGUAACACGUGAGUAACCUGCCCUUGACUUUGGGAUAACUUCAGGAAACUGGGGCUAAUACCGGAUAGGAGCUCCUGCUGCAUGGUGGGGGUUGGAAAGUUUCGGCGGUUGGGGAUGGACUCGCGGCUUAUCAGCUUGUUGGUGGGGUAGUGGCUUACCAAGGCUUUGACGGGUAGCCGGCCUGAGAGGGUGACCGGCCACAUUGGGACUGAGGUACGGCCCAGACUCCUACGGGAGGCAGCAGUGGGGAAUAUUGCACAAUGGGCGGAAGCCGGAUGCAGCAACGCCGCGUGCGGGAUGACGGCCUUCGGGUUGUAAACCGCUUUCGCCUGUGACGAAGCGUGAGUGACGGUAAUGGGUAAAGAAGCACCGGCUAACUACGUG